UACGUAGGGAGCAAGCGUUGUCCGGAAUCAUUGGGCGUAAAGAGCUCGUAGGCGGCUUGUCACGUCGGGUGUGAAAGCCCGGGGCUUAACCCCGGGUCUGCAUUCGAUACGGGCUAGCUAGAGUGUGGUAGGGGAGAUCGGAAUUCCUGGUGUAGCGGUGAAAUGCGCAGAUAUCAGGAGGAACACCGGUGGCGAAGGCGGAUCUCUGGGCCAUUACUGACGCUGAGGAGCGAAAGCGUGGGGAGCGAACAGG
Molecule: ribosomal RNA, 253 nt
Filed under: uncultured bacterium
Lineage: Bacteria
Description: partial 16S ribosomal RNA
Rfam family: Bacterial small subunit ribosomal RNA
Source: RNAcentral